RNAcentral lists this ribosomal RNA (897 nucleotides) under Nalanthamala vermoesenii. RNAcentral's name for it is "LSU rRNA". It matches the Rfam family "Eukaryotic large subunit ribosomal RNA", at positions 1 to 929 of the family's 3401-position model. The record is from RNAcentral. Lineage: Eukaryota; Fungi; Ascomycota; Sordariomycetes; Hypocreales; Nectriaceae.
UUGACCUCGGAUCAGGUAGGACUACCCGCUGAACUUAAGCAUAUCAAUAAGCGGAGGAAAAGAAACCAACAGGGAUUGCCCCAGUAACGGCGAGUGAAGCGGCAACAGCUCAAAUUUGAAAUCUGGCCCCCCGGCCCGAGUUGUAAUUUGUAGAGGAUGCUUUUGGUGCGGCGCCUUCCGAGUUCCCUGGAACGGGACGCCAUAGAGGGUGAGAGCCCCGUCUGGUUGGCCGCCAAGCCUCUGUAAAGCUCCUUCGACGAGUCGAGUAGUUUGGGAAUGCUGCUCUAAAUGGGAGGUAUAUGUCUUCUAAAGCUAAAUACCGGCCAGAGACCGAUAGCGCACAAGUAGAGUGAUCGAAAGAUGAAAAGCACUUUGAAAAGAGAGUUAAAUAGCACGUGAAAUUGUUGAAAGGGAAGCGCUUGUGACCAGACUUGGGCUUGGUUAAUCAUCCAGCGUUCUCGCUGGUGCACUUGGCCGGCCCAGGCCAGCAUCAGUUCGGCUUGGGGGAUAAAGGCGUCGGGAACGUGGCUCCCCCGGGAGUGUUAUAGCCCUUCGCGCAAUGCCCUGAGCCGGACUGAGGUUCGCGCAUCUGCAUGGAUGCUGGCGUAAUGGUCAUCAGCGACCCGUCUUGAAACACGGACCAAGGAGUCGUCUUCGUAUGCGAGUGUUCGGGUGUCAAACCCCUACGCGUAAUGAAAGUGAACGCAGGUGAGAGCUUCGGCGCAUCACCGACCGAUCCUGAUGUUCUCGGAUGGAUUUGAGUAAGAGCAUACGGGGCCGGACCCGAAAGAAGGUGAACUAUGCCUGUAUAGGGUGAAGCCAGAGGAAACUCUGGUGGAGGCUCGCAGCGGUUCUGACGUGCAAAUCGAUCGUCAAAUAUGGGCAUGGGGGCGAAAG